GAGUUUGAUCAUGGCUCAGGAUGAACGCUGGCGGCGUGCUUAACACAUGCAAGUCGAACGAACCUUCGGGUUAGUGGCGGACGGGUGAGUAACGCGUGGGAAUCUGCCCUCAGGAGGGGGAUAACGGUUGGAAACGACCGCUAAUACCCAUAUGCCGAGAGGUGAAAUGAAUUUCGCCUGAGGAUGAGCCCGCGUCUGAUUAGCUUGUUGGUGAGGUAAAAGCUCACCAAGGCUUCGAUCAGUAGCUGGUCUGAGAGGAUGAUCAGCCACACUGGGACUGAGACACGGCCCAGACUCCUACGGGAGGCAGCAGUGGGGAAUUUUCCGCAAUGGACGAAAGUCUGACGGAGCAACGCCGCGUGAGGGACGAAGGCCUCUGGGCUGUAAACCUCUUUUCUCAGGAAGAAGAUAUGACGGUACUUGAGGAAUAAGCCACGGCUAAUUCCGUGCCAGCAGCCGCGGUAAUACGGGAGUGGCAAGCGUUAUCCGGAAUUAUUGGGCGUAAAGCGUCCGCAGGCGGCCUUUCAAGUCUGCUGUUAAAGCGUGGAGCUUAACUCCAUUAUGGCAGUGGAAACUGAUUGGCUUGAGUAUGGUAGGGGCAGAGGGAAUUCCCGGUGUAGCGGUGAAAUGCGUAGAUAUCGGGAAGAACACCAGUGGCGAAGGCGCUCUGCUGGGCCAUUACUGACGCUCAUGGACGAAAGCCAGGGGAGCGAAAGGGAUUAGAUACCCCUGUAGUCCUGGCCGUAAACGAUGAACACUAGGUGUCGGGGGAAUCGACCCCUUCGGUGUCGUAGCUAACGCGUUAAGUGUUCCGCCUGGGGAGUACGCACGCAAGUGUGAAACUCAAAGGAAUUGACGGGGGCCCGCACAAGCGGUGGAGUAUGUGGUUUAAUUCGAUGCAACGCGAAGAACCUUACCAGGGCUUGACAUCCUGCGAACCUUUAAGAAAUUAGAGGGUGCCUUCGGGAACGCAGUGACAGGUGGUGCAUGGCUGUCGUCAGCUCGUGUCGUGAGAUGUUGGGUUAAGUCCCGCAACGAGCGCAACCCACGUUUUUAGUUGCCAGCAUUUAGUUGGGCACUCUAGAAAGACCGCCGGUGAUAAACCGGAGGAAGGUGUGGAUGACGUCAAGUCAUCAUGCCCCUUACGUCCUGGGCUACACACGUACUACAAUGCUACGGACAAAGGGCAGCAAACUCGCGAGAGCUAGCAAAUCCCAUAAACCGUGGCUCAGUUCAGAUCGUAGGCUGCAACUCGCCUACGUGAAGUAGGAAUCGCUAGUAAUCGCAGGUCAGCAUACUGCGGUGAAUACGUUCCCGGGCCUUGUACACACCGCCCGUCACACCAUGGAAGUUGGCCACGCCCGAAGUCGUUACUUUAACCCUUGUGGAGAAGGACGCCGAAGGUGGGGCUGAUGACUGGGGUGAAGUCGUAACAAGGUAACC
This 1443-nucleotide ribosomal RNA is filed under the name uncultured marine cyanobacterium. Its description in RNAcentral is "bacterial SSU rRNA". It matches the Rfam family "Bacterial small subunit ribosomal RNA". The record is from RNAcentral. Lineage: Bacteria; Bacillati; Cyanobacteriota.